CCUACGGGAGGCAGCAGUGGGGAAUAUUGGACAAUGGGCGCAAGCCUGAUCCAGCCAUGCCGCGUGUGUGAAGAAGGCCUUCGGGUUGUAAAGCACUUUUAUCCGGAAAGAAAAGCUUUGGGUUAAUACCCUGAAGUCAUGACGGUACCGGAAGAAUAAGCACCGGCUAACUUCGUGCCAGCAGCCGCGGUAAUACGAAGGGUGCAAGCGUUACUCGGAAUUACUGGGCGUAAAGCGUGCGUAGGUGGUUUGUUAAGUCUGAUGUGAAAGCCCUAGGCUCAACCUGGGAAUUGCAUUGGAUACUGGCAGGCUAGAGUGCGGUAGAGGAUAGUGGAAUUCCCGGUGUAGCAGUGAAAUGCGUAGAGAUCGGGAGGAACAUCUGUGGCGAAGGCGACUAUCUGGGCCAGCACUGACACUGAGGCACGAAAGCGUGGGGAGCAAACAGGAUUAGAUACCCUGGUAGUCCACGCCCUAAACGAUGCGAACUGGAUGUUGGGUGCAAACUGGCACUCAGUAUCGAAGCUAACGCGUUAAGUUCGCCGCCUGGGGAUUCGGUUGCAAGCUGAACUUCAAGGAUUGACCGG
RNAcentral lists this ribosomal RNA (584 nucleotides) under uncultured bacterium. Its description in RNAcentral is "bacterial SSU rRNA". It matches the Rfam family "Bacterial small subunit ribosomal RNA", at positions 338 to 917 of the family's 1533-position model. The record is from RNAcentral.